Molecule: ribosomal RNA, 495 nt
Filed under: uncultured bacterium
Lineage: Bacteria
Description: partial 16S ribosomal RNA
Rfam family: Bacterial small subunit ribosomal RNA
Source: RNAcentral
GAUGAACGCUGGCGGCGUGCCUAAUACAUGCAAGUCGAGCGAACAGACGAGGAGCUUGCUCCUCUGACGUUAGCGGCGGACGGGUGAGUAACACGUGGAUAACCUACCUAUAAGACUGGGAUAACUUCGGGAAACCGGAGCUAAUACCGGAUAAUAUAUUGAACCGCAUGGUUCAAUAGUGAAAGACGGUUUUGCUGUCACUUAUAGAUGGAUCCGCGCCGCAUUAGCUAGUUGGUAAGGUAACGGCUUACCAAGGCAACGAUGCGUAGCCGACCUGAGAGGGUGAUCGGCCACACUGGAACUGAGACACGGUCCAGACUCCUACGGGAGGCAGCAGUAGGGAAUCUUCCGCAAUGGGCGAAAGCCUGACGGAGCAACGCCGCGUGAAUGAUGAAGGUCUUCGGAUCGUAAAACUCUGUUAUUAGGGAAGAACAAAUGUGUAAGUAACUAUGCACGUCUUGACGGGACCUAAUCAGAAAGCCACGGCUAACUACG